Molecule: ribosomal RNA, 463 nt
Filed under: uncultured bacterium
Lineage: Bacteria
Description: bacterial SSU rRNA
Rfam family: Bacterial small subunit ribosomal RNA
Source: RNAcentral
ACGAACGCUGGCGGCGUGCUUAACACAUGCAAGUCGAGCGGAAAGGCCCUUUCGGGGGUACUCGAGCGGCGAACGGGUGAGUAACACGUGAGUAAUCUGCCCUGCGCUCUGGGAUAGCCACCGGAAACGGUGAUUAAUACCGGAUAGGACCACUUCACGCAUGUGAUGGUGGUGGAAAGUUUUUUCGGCGCAGGAUGUGCUCGCGGCCUAUCAGCUUGUUGGUGAGGUAACGGCUCACCAAGGCUUUGACGGGUAACCGGCCUGAGAGGGUGACCGGUCACACUGGGACUGAGACACGGCCCAGACUCCUACGGGAGGCAGCAGUGGGGAAUAUUGGACAAUGGGCGGAAGCCUGAUCCAGCAACGCCGCGUGAGGGAUGACGGCCUUCGGGUUGUAAACCUCUUUCAGUACCGACGAAGCGAAAGUGACGGUAGGUACAGAAGAAGGACCGGCCAACUACGU